Molecule: ribosomal RNA, 875 nt
Filed under: uncultured Flavobacterium sp.
Lineage: Bacteria; Pseudomonadati; Bacteroidota; Flavobacteriia; Flavobacteriales; Flavobacteriaceae
Description: bacterial SSU rRNA
Rfam family: Bacterial small subunit ribosomal RNA
Source: RNAcentral
GGCAUUCGCAGCUACCAUGCAGUCGAGGGGUAUAGGGAGCUUGCUUCCUAGAGACCGGCGCACGGGUGCGUAACGCGUAUGCAAUCUACCUUGUACAGGGGAAUAGCCCAGAGAAAUUUGGAUUAAUGCCCCAUAGUAUUAUUAAAUGGCAUCCUUUAAUAAUUAAAGUUCCAACGGUACAAGAUGAGCAUGCGUCCUAUUAGUUAGUUGGUGUGGUAACGGCAUACCAAGACGAUGAUAGGUAGGGGUCCUGAGAGGGAGAUCCCCCACACUGGUACUGAGACACGGACCAGACUCCUACGGGAGGCAGCAGUGAGGAAUAUUGGACAAUGGGCGCAAGCCUGAUCCAGCCAUGCCGCGUGCAGGAAGACGGUCCUAUGGAUUGUAAACUGCUUUUAUACAGGAAGAAACACUGGUUCGUGAACCAGCUUGACGGUACUGUAAGAAUAAGGAUCGGCUAACUCCGUGCCAGCAGCCGCGGUAAUACGGAGGAUCCAAGCGUUAUCCGGAAUCAUUGGGUUUAAAGGGUCCGUAGGCGGCCUUAUAAGUCAGUGGUGAAAUCUCCUAGCUCAACUAGGAAAUGGCCAUUGAUACUGUAGGGCUUGAAUUAUUGUGAAGUAACUAGAAUAUGUAGUGUAGCGGUGAAAUGCUUAGAUAUUACAUGGAAUACCAAUUGCGAAGGCAGGUUACUAACAAUAUAUUGACGCUGAUGGACGAAAGCGUGGGGAGCGAACAGGAUUAGAUACCCUGGUAGUCCACGCCGCAAACGAUGGAUACUACCUGUUUGUAGCAAUCUGAGUGGCUAAACGAAAGUGAUAAGUAUCCCCCCCUGCUGAGUACGAACGCAAGUUUGAUAUUCACCCCAAUUGAUUGGG